UACGAAGGGGGCUAGCGUUGUUCGGAUUUACUGGGCGUAAAGCGCGCGUAGGCGGGUUGUUAAGUCAGGGGUGAAAUGCCGAGGCUCAACCUCGGAACUGCCUUUGAUACUGGCAACCUGGAGUUCGGGAGAGGUGAGUGGAAUUCCGAGUGUAGAGGUGAAAUUCGUAGAUAUUCGGAGGAACACCAGAAGCGAAGGCGGCUCACUGGCCCGAUACUGACGCUGAGGCGCGAAAGCGUGGGGAGCAAACAGG
RNAcentral lists this ribosomal RNA (253 nucleotides) under uncultured bacterium. RNAcentral's name for it is "partial 16S ribosomal RNA". It matches the Rfam family "Bacterial small subunit ribosomal RNA", at positions 524 to 776 of the family's 1533-position model. The record is from RNAcentral.